Cinara cedri is the source of this 570-nucleotide non-coding RNA. NCBI's taxonomy places the organism in Eukaryota, Metazoa, Arthropoda, Insecta, Hemiptera, Aphididae. The record is from the annotation of a GenBank genome assembly.
GGGAUUUGUUUUUCAAUAUAAUGUAUAGGUUGGUACUCACCGUAGACACCGUGAAGUUGGGUUUACCAUUAAAAACUCAGCUCUCGGCGACGACACUGUUACACAACCGUCAGUUUUAUAGGAAAGAAAACGGAAAAAACGAACUUUGAAACUUUGAAAAAAAAAUUUGUGUCCAAAAAUACGCGCACGCACACGAAAACGCGAUGCUGACAGUUAUAUCCGAUGACGAAGAUUGCAGAAACGUAUUAGAAACCGUGGUCCGCCAUAUUGAAACUUAAGCAUAUACCGGUCUGAAAACAUUCAGCCCAAUAGAAAACGAGAUGAUCGUUAUUAUACCAUGGUUGUGGGCCCUGAUCCACCCACCACCAGUGUGACCGAUUACGGACCGCGACAGGGUUUUUUUUCUCCGGCCGAUUUACACUUGUGGCAGACUGGUAGGUACGCUAAAUCCACGACGGGCCCGAUCUACACACUCGCGUACAAUUCGAGCCGUCACGGGUCCGUGUUCGCCCCGUCAUUUUAUUGUGUCUGCCAAUGAUGAUUCUCGCUACGAAACACCGGUUGUUGACG